RNAcentral lists this ribosomal RNA (253 nucleotides) under uncultured bacterium. RNAcentral's name for it is "partial 16S ribosomal RNA". It matches the Rfam family "Bacterial small subunit ribosomal RNA", at positions 524 to 776 of the family's 1533-position model. The record is from RNAcentral.
UACGUAGGGGGCAAGCGUUGUCCGGAUUUACUGGGCGUAAAGAGCGUGUAGGCGGCCAAACAGGUCCGUUGUGAAAACUCGAGGCUCAACCUCGAGACGUCGAUGGAAACCAUCUAGCUAGAGCCCGGAAGAGGAGAGUGGAAUUCCUGGUGUAGCGGUGAAAUGCGCAGAUAUCAGGAAGAACACCCGUGGCGAAGGCGGCUCUCUGGUACGUGACUGACGCUGAGACGCGAAAGCGUGGGGAGCGAACAGG